This 363-nucleotide transfer-messenger RNA is filed under the name Salmonella enterica. It matches the Rfam family "transfer-messenger RNA". From Rfam's summary of the family: Bacterial tmRNA, also known as 10Sa RNA or SsrA, is named for its dual tRNA and mRNA-like properties. Its role is to liberate the mRNA from a stalled ribosome. The record is from RNAcentral. Lineage: Bacteria; Pseudomonadati; Pseudomonadota; Gammaproteobacteria; Enterobacterales; Enterobacteriaceae.
GGGGCUGAUUCUGGAUUCGACGGGAUUUGCGAAACCCAAGGUGCAUGCCGAGGGGCGGUUGGCCUCGUAAAAAGCCGCAAAAAAAUAGUCGCAAACGACGAAAACUACGCUUUAGCAGCUUAAUAACCUGCUUAGAGCUCUCUCUCCCUAGCCUCCGCUCUUAGGACGGGGAUCAAGAGAGGUCAAACCCAAAAGAGAUCGCGCGGAUGCCCUGCCUGGGGUUGAAGCGUUAAAACGAAUCAGGCUAGUCUGGUAGUGGCGUGUCCGUCCGCAGGUGCCAGGCGAAUGUAAAGACUGACUAAGCAUGUAGUACCGAGGAUGUAGGAAUUUCGGACGCGGGUUCAACUCCCGCCAGCUCCACCA